This 178-nucleotide ribosomal RNA is filed under the name uncultured bacterium. RNAcentral describes it as "partial 16S ribosomal RNA". The record is from RNAcentral.
UGGGGAUUUUGCUCAAUGGGCGAAAGGUGGUGCAGCCACGCCGCGUGCGUGAAGAAGGUUUUAGGAGUGGAAAACUGUUUUUGUGGGGAAGAAAACCUUGAGGGCUGUAACCGCCUGAAUGUAACGGAACAAUAAAGAACGGCCAACUCUAUUCCAGCCCCCGCGGUAAUUAAUAUAA